This 163-nucleotide ribosomal RNA is filed under the name Dendrobium unicum. Its description in RNAcentral is "5.8S ribosomal RNA". It matches the Rfam family "5.8S ribosomal RNA". Rfam says of the family: 5.8S ribosomal RNA (5.8S rRNA) is a component of the large subunit of the eukaryotic ribosome. Lineage: Eukaryota; Viridiplantae; Streptophyta; Magnoliopsida; Asparagales; Orchidaceae. The record is from RNAcentral.
ACACGACUCUCGGCAAUGGAUAUCUCGGCUCUCGCAUCGAUGAAGAGCGCAGCGAAAUGCGAUAUGUGGUGCGAAUUGCAGAAUCCCGCGAACCAUCGAGUCUUUGAACGCAAGUUGCGCCCGAGGCCAACCGGCCAAGGGCACGUCCGCCUGGGCGUCAAGC